GGGUUGUGAGGUUAAGCGACUAAGCGUACACGGUGGAUGCCCUGGCAGUCAGAGGCGAUGAAGGACGUGCUAAUCUGCGAUAAGCGUCGGUAAGGUGAUAUGAACCGUUAUAACCGGCGAUUUCCGAAUGGGGAAACCCAGUGUGAUUCGUCACACUAUCAUUAACUGAAUCCAUAGGUUAAUGAGGCGAACCGGGGGAACUGAAACAUCUAAGUACCCCGAGGAAAAGAAAUCAACCGAGAUUCCCCCAGUAGCGGCGAGCGAACGGGGAGCAGCCCAGAGCCUGAAUCAGUGUGUGUGUUAGUGGAAGCGUCUGGAAAGGCGCGCGAUACAGGGUGACAGCCCCGUACACAAAAAUGCACAUGCUGUGAGCUCGAUGAGUAGGGCGGGACACGUGGUAUCCUGUCUGAAUAUGGGGGGACCAUCCUCCAAGGCUAAAUACUCCUGACUGACCGAUAGUGAACCAGUACCGUGAGGGAAAGGCGAAAAGAACCCCGGCGAGGGGAGUGAAAAAGAACCUGAAACCGUGUACGUACAAGCAGUGGGAGCACAGAGCAAUCUGUGUGACUGCGUACCUUUUGUAUAAUGGGUCAGCGACUUAUAUUCUGUAGCAAGGUUAACCGAAUAGGGGAGCCGAAGGGAAACCGAGUCUUAACUGGGCGUUAAGUUGCAGGGUAUAGACCCGAAACCCGGUGAUCUAGCCAUGGGCAGGUUGAAGGUUGGGUAACACUAACUGGAGGACCGAACCGACUAAUGUUGAAAAAUUAGCGGAUGACUUGUGGCUGGGGGUGAAAGGCCAAUCAAACCGGGAGAUAGCUGGUUCUCCCCGAAAGCUAUUUAGGUAGCGCCUCGUGAAUUCAUCUCCGGGGGUAGAGCACUGUUUCGGCAAGGGGGUCAUCCCGACUUACCAACCCGAUGCAAACUGCGAAUACCGGAGAAUGUUAUCACGGGAGACACACGGCGGGUGCUAACGUCCGUCGUGAAGAGGGAAACAACCCAGACCGCCAGCUAAGGUCCCAAAGUCAUGGUUAAGUGGGAAACGAUGUGGGAAGGCCCAGACAGCCAGGAUGUUGGCUUAGAAGCAGCCAUCAUUUAAAGAAAGCGUAAUAGCUCACUGGUCGAGUCGGCCUGCGCGGAAGAUGUAACGGGGCUAAACCAUGCACCGAAGCUGCGGCAGCGACGCUUAUGCGUUGUUGGGUAGGGGAGCGUUCUGUAAGCCUGCGAAGGUGUGCUGUGAGGCAUGCUGGAGGUAUCAGAAGUGCGAAUGCUGACAUAAGUAACGAUAAAGCGGGUGAAAAGCCCGCUCGCCGGAAGACCAAGGGUUCCUGUCCAACGUUAAUCGGGGCAGGGUGAGUCGACCCCUAAGGCGAGGCCGAAAGGCGUAGUCGAUGGGAAACAGGUUAAUAUUCCUGUACUUGGUGUUACUGCGAAGGGGGGACGGAGAAGGCUAUGUUGGCCGGGCGACGGUUGUCCCGGUUUAAGCGUGUAGGCUGGUUUUCCAGGCAAAUCCGGAAAAUCAAGGCUGAGGCGUGAUGACGAGGCACUACGGUGCUGAAGCAACAAAUGCCCUGCUUCCAGGAAAAGCCUCUAAGCAUCAGGUAACAUCAAAUCGUACCCCAAACCGACACAGGUGGUCAGGUAGAGAAUACCAAGGCGCUUGAGAGAACUCGGGUGAAGGAACUAGGCAAAAUGGUGCCGUAACUUCGGGAGAAGGCACGCUGAUAUGUAGGUGAAGCGACUUGCUCGUGGAGCUGAAAUCAGUCGAAGAUACCAGCUGGCUGCAACUGUUUAUUAAAAACACAGCACUGUGCAAACACGAAAGUGGACGUAUACGGUGUGACGCCUGCCCGGUGCCGGAAGGUUAAUUGAUGGGGUCAGCGCAAGCGAAGCUCUUGAUCGAAGCCCCGGUAAACGGCGGCCGUAACUAUAACGGUCCUAAGGUAGCGAAAUUCCUUGUCGGGUAAGUUCCGACCUGCACGAAUGGCGUAAUGAUGGCCAGGCUGUCUCCACCCGAGACUCAGUGAAAUUGAACUCGCUGUGAAGAUGCAGUGUACCCGCGGCAAGACGGAAAGACCCCGUGAACCUUUACUAUAGCUUGACACUGAACAUUGAGCCUUGAUGUGUAGGAUAGGUGGGAGGCUUUGAAGUGUGGACGCCAGUCUGCAUGGAGCCGACCUUGAAAUACCACCCUUUAAUGUUUGAUGUUCUAACGUUGACCCGUAAUCCGGGUUGCGGACAGUGUCUGGUGGGUAGUUUGACUGGGGCGGUCUCCUCCUAAAGAGUAACGGAGGAGCACGAAGGUUGGCUAAUCCUGGUCGGACAUCAGGAGGUUAGUGCAAUGGCAUAAGCCAGCUUGACUGCGAGCGUGACGGCGCGAGCAGGUGCGAAAGCAGGUCAUAGUGAUCCGGUGGUUCUGAAUGGAAGGGCCAUCGCUCAACGGAUAAAAGGUACUCCGGGGAUAACAGGCUGAUACCGCCCAAGAGUUCAUAUCGACGGCGGUGUUUGGCACCUCGAUGUCGGCUCAUCACAUCCUGGGGCUGAAGUAGGUCCCAAGGGUAUGGCUGUUCGCCAUUUAAAGUGGUACGCGAGCUGGGUUUAGAACGUCGUGAGACAGUUCGGUCCCUAUCUGCCGUGGGCGCUGGAGAACUGAGGGGGGCUGCUCCUAGUACGAGAGGACCGGAGUGGACGCAUCACUGGUGUUCGGGUUGUCAUGCCAAUGGCACUGCCCGGUAGCUAAAUGCGGAAGAGAUAAGUGCUGAAAGCAUCUAAGCACGAAACUUGCCCCGAGAUGAGUUCUCCCUGACUCCUUGAGAGUCCUGAAGGAACGUUGAAGACGACGACGUUGAUAGGCCGGGUGUGUAAGCGCAGCGAUGCGUUGAGCUAACCGGUACUAAUGAACCGUGAGGCUUAACCUUACAACGCCGAAGGUGUUU
RNAcentral lists this ribosomal RNA (2933 nucleotides) under Escherichia coli. RNAcentral describes it as "23S ribosomal RNA". It matches the Rfam family "Bacterial large subunit ribosomal RNA". Lineage: Bacteria; Pseudomonadati; Pseudomonadota; Gammaproteobacteria; Enterobacterales; Enterobacteriaceae. The record is from RNAcentral.